Molecule: ribosomal RNA, 460 nt
Filed under: uncultured bacterium
Lineage: Bacteria
Description: partial 16S ribosomal RNA
Rfam family: Bacterial small subunit ribosomal RNA
Source: RNAcentral
CCUACGGGAGACAGCAGUGAGGAAUAUUGGUCAAUGGACGAGAGUCUGAACCAGCCAAGUAGCGUGAAGGAUGACUGCCCUAUGGGUUGUAAACUUCUUUUAUAAAGGAAUAAAACGAGGCACGUGUGCCUUUUUGCAUGUACUUUAUGAAUAAGGAUCGGCUAACUCCGUGCCAGCAGCCGCGGUAAUACGGAGGAUCCGAGCGUUAUCCGGAUUUAUUGGGUUUAAAGGGAGCGUAGAUGGGUUGUUAAGUCAGUUGUGAAAGUUUGCGGCUCAACCGUAAAAUUGCAAUUGAUACUGGCAGUCGUGAGUACAGUUGAGGUAGGCGGAAUUCGUGGUGUAGCGGUGAAAUGCUUAGAUAUCACGAAGAACCCCGAUUGCGAAGGCAGCUUACUAAACUGUGACUGACAUUGAUGCUCGAAAGUGUGGGUAUCAAACAGGAUUAGAUACCCCUGUAUUC